UAUAGCUUUUCAAGUUAUUUUUGAGUCAGUGUGAGCAUUCAAUUAUUUCCUGUUAAAUAGGGAACAAAACAGGCCUAAAGACUGAAAGGAAGAGCUGCUGUGGGAAGUGAUCUCUCCAGAGGGAAGCAUGCUAGCGACUCCUGGUUUGUGACUCACAAUGAGCCCAGAGCACUCUGCCAUAUGGAUGGCAGCCGUCACUCAGCAGACUCCCGAGCUCCUACUCUGCAUCCGAUGGGCUUUGGGACACAAACGCACUGCUGGAAUCAUAGCCAAGGAGUGGCUGAGACUGCUUGGGGCCUUCAGAUUUCAUAAUUUAAAACUCACCAAUGCCUCCCACAUAAGACUCUUGUCAACCGACAGCCCAAGGGAUGAAGUUUUGACCUCCCCGUGCCACUGUCUGCCACCACUGAUUUCACUCUCAUUAUCAUCGGUAAUUAUUUGUGAGUCCCCUGGAAUUCUACCUUGCUCUGUCUCACAAUCUCCUCGUUAGUGCUUCUUCCUGGUGUGCAGGUUCAUCAUGCAGUUCCUUGGACAGGCGCCCUCGGCCUCCUUCACUACCAAUUUGGUUAUCAGAUGCUUUAAGGAAUGGCAGGGGAAAUUGUGUUUUCAGAAGAGAAAUCAACCAGGAACAUUAACCAGCCUGACUUGGCUUAUAUGGACUCCUGAGAGAAAGAAAAUAAAAGGCUCCAGCCAGAAAUCUGUGAAAACAAGACAUUGUUGUAUUAACCUCAAUGAAAAACAACUAAGCAAAUGUAAAUAUAUUCCUGCAUCAAUAUUCGAAUGUGAGGCCUUUGCUAAAUGAAUCGGAUGAACUCUGCUCUGCGAUAAUCAUAUGGGAUCACUCCUCAUUUCAUGAGGAUUCAAUGGUUUAAGAGAGAGAAGAGAUUUUCCUCUGUAUUUCUCAAGAUUUCACAUUCAAUGUGAAUGUCAAUGUGAGUUGCGUGGAAUGCUAAUGGAGACAAAUAAUUAUCAUAAUAAAUCUGUGGAGCUUCUUAUGGGCUGCAAAGUGUUUUUCAA
This is a long non-coding RNA of Artibeus jamaicensis (Jamaican fruit-eating bat), 1017 nucleotides long. RefSeq lists it as uncharacterized. Lineage: Eukaryota; Metazoa; Chordata; Mammalia; Chiroptera; Phyllostomidae. The transcript is spliced from 4 exons. The record is from RefSeq and is a predicted model, not a curated record.